CCUACGGGGCGCAGCAGUGGGGGAUAUUGCACAAUGGGGGGAACCCUGAUGCAGCGACGCCGCGUGGGUGAAGAAGCGCCUCGGCGCGUAAAGCCCUGUCAGCAGGGAAGAAAAUGACGGUACCUGAAGAAGAAGCCCCGGCUAACUACGUGCCAGCAGCCGCGGUAAUACGUAGGGGGCAAGCGUUAUCCGGAUUUACUGGGUGGAAAGGGGGCGGAGACGGCGAUGCAAGCCAGGAGUGAAAGCCCGGGGCCCAACCCCGGGACUGCUCUUGGAACUGCGUGGCUGGAGUGCAGGAGGGGCAGGCGGAAUUCCUGGUGUAGCGGUGAAAUGCGUAGAUAUCAGGAGGAACACCGGUGGCGAAGGCGGCCUGCUGGACUGCAACUGACGUUGAGGCCCGAAAGCGUGGGGAGCAAACAGGAUUAGAUACCCCAGUAGUC
This 440-nucleotide ribosomal RNA is filed under the name uncultured bacterium. RNAcentral's name for it is "partial 16S ribosomal RNA". It matches the Rfam family "Bacterial small subunit ribosomal RNA", at positions 338 to 795 of the family's 1533-position model. The record is from RNAcentral.